RNAcentral lists this ribosomal RNA (484 nucleotides) under uncultured bacterium. RNAcentral describes it as "partial 16S ribosomal RNA". It matches the Rfam family "Bacterial small subunit ribosomal RNA", at positions 28 to 523 of the family's 1533-position model. The record is from RNAcentral.
GACGAACGCUGGCGGCGUGCUUAACACAUGCAAGUCGAACGAUGAACCCGGAGCUUGCUCCGGCGGAUUAGUGGCGAACGGGUGAGUAACACGUGAGUAACCUGCCCUUGACUCUGGGAUAACUGCUAGAAAUGGUAGCUAAUACCGGAUACGACCCUCGGUGGCAUCACCAGGGGGUGGAAAGAAUUUCGGUCAAGGAUGGACUCGCGGCCUAUCAGCGAGUUGGUGAGGUAACGGCUCACCAAGGCGACGACGGGUAGCCGGCCUGAGAGGGCGACCGGCCACACUGGGACUGAGACACGGCCCAGACUCCUACGGGAGGCAGCAGUGGGGAAUAUUGGGCAAUGGAGGAAACUCUGACCCAGCGACGCCGCGUGCGGGAUGAAGGCCUUCGGGUUGUAAACCGCUUUCAGCAGGGAAGAAGCGAAAGUGACGGUACCUGCAGAAGAAGCACCGGCUAACUAUGUGCCAGCCGCCGCCGUAA